Molecule: unclassified non-coding RNA, 1364 nt
Filed under: Hevea brasiliensis (rubber tree)
Lineage: Eukaryota; Viridiplantae; Streptophyta; Magnoliopsida; Malpighiales; Euphorbiaceae
Source: RNAcentral
UGAUAAGUCGCUUUCACACAAUCGCUAUUCUGAGAAGCUCCAAUUAUUUAUAUUGCCAUACACGAGCAGAAUAUAGUAAGAGGAGAGAACAAGAGUACAGAUACAAGAAAUUAAGGGGAAAGGGAAGGUGAGAAGAGGCAAAAUGAAGUUUUUCUCUCUAGCAGUGCUGGUGCAGAUUCUGCUGAGCACAAGCCGUUGCAGAGCCAGUGUUCCAAAUAGGAUGGAUGGCAACCACUUCUCCAUAGGGGAUAGCAACAAGGAGUUUGAGUUCAUGACAGAAUGCUUGCCGCUGCUGCAGUUUCUACUAAGCCUUUAAGCAGAGAUGCAGUUUUUUUCCUUGCGACAGAGGCAAUAACUACUGCCUCACACAAAAAAAUGUUAAAUAAGUGCUGCGGGGUAUACGACCGGACUUGCAAUCGCUUUAAGUAGCUUUUUUUGCUAGCACAGCCAUGCCCCGUGCUUCAACUGUCUUUCUCUGCAGGUGGAAUAUUUGUGUUUAUAAAUAAAAUUAUCUUCUUCUAGUUUUGUUCUAUUCGUAUCAGAACUGCAUACGUGAAAUCUUUGGCUUUGAGGUAAUACUCUUCAUUUUUCUUUUUUAUAAAAGGAAGUGUCAUUUAAUCAAUAAAAUAGUCAUAGUAUAUAGUUAUAAUUAAUAAUAUUGAUAUCAAAAAUUAUUGUUUAAUAAAAUAAGACAAAUCUCUUAAAAUAUUAUCUAGAUCUCUUCUGCAUUACUUUCUGAAUUAUUUCGAUCUCUCAGCAUUUAUUUUGAUAUAGUUGUCCAUCACAGUUAUCAUAAUAUUUUGACAGAUCAUGUUUAUUCUGCAAAAUUGAUCAACAAUAAUUCAAAACUACAAGACAAUUUUUCAUAGAAAAUCUUAAAAAAAAUCAUAAAGGGAAAUAAGAUAAUUAUAUGUAGAAAUCAAUUCCACAUUAAAAACAAAACGGCAAAACUUUACAAAAUGAGAGAAAUAAAAGAAAAUGCAAAUCUGUCAAGUAUGAAUUUGAGUUUAUUAAUAAUAAAUAAAUGAAAAAAAAAAAGAUAAGUGCUACCUCUAAUUAAUAGUAAAAAUUUCAAAUUUAAAUUAGGAUCAGAAAGUCUCCCGUAUUAAAGGGUCUGUAUAGAAAAAAAAAUAAAGAAAAGGAGACAAAGAGAGAUAGAGUCUUUAAUUUUCUUUUCUUUCUUUGAAUUUCUGCAAACUCUUUAAAUUUGUCAAAAUCAAUGUCUUUUUCUCACUUGGAAUUUUAUAUUUAAGGCAUGUUUGGUUUAACCAUCGGAUACAACCGAUAGCGGUUAUUGUUAGCGAAUAAUUGAUAACUGAUAGUUGAUUUAUAUAAAUUAUUUAGUAAAAUUAUGUGUAGCUAUU